Molecule: ribosomal RNA, 460 nt
Filed under: uncultured bacterium
Lineage: Bacteria
Description: partial 16S ribosomal RNA
Rfam family: Bacterial small subunit ribosomal RNA
Source: RNAcentral
CCUACGGGUGGCAGCAGUGAGGAAUAUUGGUCAAUGGACGAGAGUCUGAACCAGCCAAGUAGCGUGAAGGAUGACUGCCCUAUGGGUUGUAAACUUCUUUUAUAUGGGAAUAAAACGUUCCACGUGUGGGAUUUUGUAUGUACCAUAUGAAUAAGGAUCGGCUAACUCCGUGCCAGCAGCCGCGGUAAUACGGAGGAUCCGAGCGUUAUCCGGAUUUAUUGGGUUUAAAGGGAGCGUAGGUGGAUUGUUAAGUCAGUUGUGAAAGUUUGCGGCUCAACCGUAAAAUUACAGUUGAAACUGGCAGUCUUGAGUACAGUAGAGGUGGGCGGAAUUCGUGGUGUAGCGGUGAAAUGCUUAGAUAUCACGAAGAACUCCGAUUGCGAAGGCAGUUCACUGGACUGCAACUGACACUGAGGCUCGAAAGUGUGGGUAUCAAACAGGAUUAGAUACCCCAGUAGUC